AGAGUUUGAUCCUGGCUCAGAUUGAACGCUGGCGGAACGCUUUACACAUGCAAGUCGAACGGUAACGCGGAGAGAAGCUUGCUUCUCUCCGGCGACGAGUGGCGAACGGGUGAGUAAUACAUCGGAACGUGUCCGCUCGUGGGGGACAACCAGCCGAAAGGUUGGCUAAUACCGCAUGAGUUCUACGGAAGAAAGAGGGGGACCCGCAAGGGCCUCUCGCGAGCGGAGCGGCCGAUGACUGAUUAGCCGGUUGGUGAGGUAACGGCUCACCAAAGCAACGAUCAGUAGCUGGUCUGAGAGGACGACCAGCCACACUGGGACUGAGACACGGCCCAGACUCCUACGGGAGGCAGCAGUGGGGAAUUUUGGACAAUGGGCGCAAGCCUGAUCCAGCUAUUCCGCGUGUGGGAUGAAGGCCCUCGGGUUGUAAACCACUUUUGUAGAGAACGAAAAGACACCUUCGAAUAAAGGGUGUUGCUGACGGUACUCUAAGAAUAAGCACCGGCUAACUACGUGCCAGCAGCCGCGGUAAUACGUAGGGUGCGAGCGUUAAUCGGAAUUACUGGGCGUAAAGGGUGCGCAGGCGGUUGAGUAAGACAGAUGUGAAAUCCCCGAGCUUAACUCGGGAAUGGCAUAUGUGACUGCUCGACUAGAGUGUGUCAGAGGGAGGCGGAAUUCCACGUGUAGCAGUGAAAUGCGUAGAUAUGUGGAAGAACACCGAUGGCGAAGGCAGCCUCCUGGGACAUAACUGACGCUCAGGCACGAAAGCGUGGGGAGCAAACAGGAUUAGAUACCCUGGUAGUCCACGCCCUAAACGAUGUUAACUAGUUGUUGGGAAGUAAUAUUCUCAGUAACGCAGCCAACGCGAGAAGUUAACCGCCUGGGAAGUACGGUCGCAAGACUAAAACUCAAAGGAAUUGACGGGGACCCGCACAAGCGGUGGAUGAUGUGGAUUAAUUCGAUGCAACGCGAAAAACCUUACCUACCCUUGACAUGUCAGGAAGCUCUUGUAAUGAGAGUGUGCCCGCAAGGGAGCCUGAACACAGGUGCUGCAUGGCUGUCGUCAGCUCGUGUCGUUAGAUGUUGGGUUAAGUCCCGCAACGAGCGCAACCCUUGUCACUAGUUGCUACGAAAGGGCACUCUAGUGAGACUGCCGGUGACAAACCGGAGGAAGGUGGGGAUGACGUCAAGUCCUCAUGGCCCUUAUGGGUAGGGCUUCACACGUCAUACAAUGGUCGGAACAGAGGGCAGCGAAGUCGUGAGACGGAGCCAAUCCCAGAAAACCGAUCGUAGUCCGGAUUGCAGUCUGCAACUCGACUGCAUGAAGUCGGAAUCGCUAGUAAUCGCGGAUCAGCAUGCCGCGGUGAAUACGUUCCCGGGUCUUGUACACACCGCCCGUCAAACAAUGGGAGUGGUGUUUACCAGAAGUCGUUAGCCUAACCGUAAGGAGGGCGGCGACCACGGUGAGCACCGUGACUAAUGUUAAGUCGUAACAAGGUA
This 1500-nucleotide ribosomal RNA is filed under the name metagenome. RNAcentral's name for it is "bacterial SSU rRNA". It matches the Rfam family "Bacterial small subunit ribosomal RNA". The record is from RNAcentral.